CCGCCCGCUGCCGCUGCCUGCCGAGACGCCGGGGCCGCUGCGGAGCUGCCCCGGAGCGGUGCGGGGCUCGGCGGCCGCCGCCGAAAGGAUCGGGACCAAUUUGCUGGCCAUGCUGCACCCUUUUCUUCAUCCUAAAAUGCUCCUUGGAUGCUAACUGGCAGCUGUGGCUUCGGAAGGAUUGCAAGUCUGGGGGCAAUGCAUAUGGGGAGCACCGACGUGAAGAAAACUUCCCGAAGGUCAUGCAAAGGCAAACUCGGCUAGUGGGGAAUCGCCUUCCAGAAUAGACUGCAACCUCAGCCUUCCACUGAAAGAGUUGCACAAGGUGAUGGCCGCGCCGCGGCGGCCGGCAGCGCUCCGCACGGACCAGGCGCGGCGCCGGCGC
Molecule: long non-coding RNA, 382 nt
Organism: Catharus ustulatus (Swainson's thrush)
Lineage: Eukaryota; Metazoa; Chordata; Aves; Passeriformes; Turdidae
Exons: 4
Source: RefSeq, a predicted model, not a curated record